Long non-coding RNA from Mauremys mutica (yellowpond turtle), 870 nucleotides. RefSeq lists it as uncharacterized. Lineage: Eukaryota; Metazoa; Chordata; Testudines; Geoemydidae. The record is from RefSeq and is a predicted model, not a curated record. The transcript has 4 exons.
GAGGCCUAAAUUGGCUGGGAUCUAGCUACAUGGGAGUUCACCUCCCUCUUCUUGCCACACUGAACAGUUACAAACAAUGGAAGCGAUCAGCUGAAUUUAAAAGGCAGGGGACUUGUGGCAGAGAAACCUCAGAUGCAGCACAAGCUUGCCCCCUGCUUUGAAAUAGCCCAUGUGUUGUUGAUGUAAUGGGCAUGCUACAAGGCACUUCUGUUUCCACUGGUUGCUGAAUUUAGAAAGCCCAGGAGCUAGCUUCAUCACACAUCUCUGCCAAUAUACGUUAGUGCUGAGCUGGAAUGCCCCUCUUAUUCUGCUAAUGGGCCCCUCCUGAGCUGAGACCACACAUCACACUGAACUGAGUAAUUAUUCUUCUGAUGUACCCAAAUGUUCACUGAAAUGAGAUGGAGAUGGCUGAGCUCAUUUCACUUGUGAUCUAAACCAUGUUUGAACUCAGAUCUACGGAGGUGAAAAAAAGGAAUCCAGUCUUGACCUGAAGCUAUCAAGAGAUGGGGAAUGCAGCACUUCUCAUGGAAAUUGGAGUAGUGAGUUCUGUACACAGAGCAAGUCUACAGGAAUGAGCGUCAAGAGACUGCGGUAACAAGUCUAAGAUAUGGAGGGAAAAAAAAUAGUGAAUGCAGUUCUGGCCUUUCUGUUACAAUGUGAAGAAAAGACAGAAUGUUGCAUGUAAGCCCAUGGUGAUGAUACUACAUUAUGUGGUGAGGCGAAUGUUGUCAAUGGAAGUCUAUAGAAAAUGACCCUGCAACAUAAAGAAAAAGGAAAUCACUGUCAGUGCAAGUCUAUAGAAAUGACUAUGAUCUGAGAAAAGGCAAAACAGUGUCAAUGCAGCUGUGAUUGGUUUUGCAAUGUAAGGAA